ACGCUCGACACCUACGGGAGGCGGCAGUGGGGAAUAUUGCACAAUGGGGGAAACCCUGAUGCAGCGACGCCGCGUGGAGGAAGAAGGUCUUCGGAUUGUAAACUCCUGUUGUUGGGGAAAAAGAGGAUGGUACCCAACAAGGAAGUGACGGCUAACUACGCGCCAGCAGCCGCGGUAAUCUGAGCGGGCUGGCAAGGC
This 198-nucleotide ribosomal RNA is filed under the name uncultured bacterium. Its description in RNAcentral is "partial 16S ribosomal RNA". It matches the Rfam family "Bacterial small subunit ribosomal RNA", at positions 328 to 539 of the family's 1533-position model. The record is from RNAcentral.